UCUCGCUCUCUUUAAGGUGAUUCAAGUCCACUGCAACAAAUGUUUUUCACCAGUCUAGCAAUACUCCUCUUGACUUGUCCCCUCCAAGAUACAACAGCUUAAUCACAAAGUGUAACUCAACAAACUCUGGACAAGAGUUGAGUUCAAAGCUCCACAAAAAGAACACCUCCCUUCAAUUAAUAAGAACUCUCUUUUUGACAAACUUUAUGCACUCUAUAUUUUUCUUAUGUAUCUAAACCAAAUGAAGACCACCACUAUUUAUACUAGAAGAAGUCUUCCUAGCAUUGAAUAGGAAGAUAAUGGGGUAGUAAAUAUUGAAGAUAAAUGACCUUAAG
RNAcentral lists this long non-coding RNA (335 nucleotides) under Solanum tuberosum (potato). RNAcentral's name for it is "long non-coding RNA (STUB_LNC004769)". Lineage: Eukaryota; Viridiplantae; Streptophyta; Magnoliopsida; Solanales; Solanaceae. The record is from RNAcentral.